AUUGUACUCCCUCCGUCCCAAAAUUAUUGUCUUAGAUUUGUCUAAAUACGGAUGUAUCUAGAUACGUUUUAGUGUUAGAUACAUCCGUAUCUAGACAAAUCUAAGACAAGAAUUUUGGGCCGGAGGGAGUAUUAG
This is a non-coding RNA of Triticum urartu, 135 nucleotides long. NCBI's taxonomy places the organism in Eukaryota, Viridiplantae, Streptophyta, Magnoliopsida, Poales, Poaceae. The record is from Rfam.